AUAGCCCCGCUGUUCCCUCCGGGAGCCGGGGCUCGGAGCGGCGGCGCUGACCCUUCCGCCCUGCUAUCAAUAGAUGGCAGCAGGCGGCUCCUUGUGUCCCAGCGCCGCGGCAGCGGGAGGCUCCCGGCGGGAGCGCUCCCGACAGGCCCCACAGGGCCGGGCGAGCAGGCUGGGCUCGAACCGCGCCGCAAGGCACGGCUGUGGACAUGGCCCUGCGGCAAAACGUCCCGACGCGUUUGCACGUCGUGUUAAAUUCAGUACAUUCACAACAGGAAGAACCUAAGGCAACACAUCUCAAGAGCUUCUUUGGUUGUUUCUGACAUACUCUGACAAGAAGUAAUUACAGGCCACAUACAGUCUUUCACAACCUUUUCUGAAGUAGCUUUUAAAGACAAAUAAUACAGGGCUCCUUGUUCUUCACCUGUCAGUGCCCUCCUGCUCAGAGUUGCUGCUGUUUCUUGCACACCCAGGCAAGAAGAAGAAGAAGGGGCAGAAGUUAUGCAAUGUGACCAGGAGCAGACUCUGGGAAACCAAAGCACCUCAGUCUAAACAUAACAGAGCCCUGAUGUGAUGAGGCUGAUUUCACACAUAGAGGUUUUUCUCUGUGAUAACUGUAUCAGUUAUCCACAGUGGUCUGCAAAUGUCUGGAAAUGCUGAACAUUUUGGAUACCUCAGAAACUUCAGCCUCCACAUGCUCCCAGAUCAGGAGACAUGCAAGAAAAGUGAACUCAAUGUCCCAGGAAUCACUGAGGCCAGUGUUCACUGUGAGGGCCAGGAUAACUCACUGGAUGGCCCUAUAGCUACAAAAGGCGAGUUGCAACCCAUGCCCAGGAGCUGUGUCAGGAAGGUCCUGACCCUUAAGAGCCUGAUUUUUCUUCAAGAAAGAAGGAAAUCUGUAUCUUAUUGGAAACAGAAGAAAUUUCAGUGGAGCUCACACUUCAGUGAAAUUCUGCCUUGGUAUUCAAACUAGUGGAGACAUUUCACUGAGUUUCAUGAAGAUGAAACUAAGAUGAAACUAAGUCCUGUUAAUAUAGGUGGCCAGAGGGAGAAGCAAAGAUGUAUAAGUGUGGAGCUGAAGGAAGAUUGCUGUCACUGGGAAGCAUGGUUGCCUUUCUGGGCUCGGUGCCACAAUGAAAUGUCAGGUCUGGAGGCCUCAUGCUCAUUGCAUCUGGAAAGAAAUGCAUCUUCACAGAGCAGAGAGAUGAGCUGCAGAAGUCACCCUGUCUUUUGAGCACUAGUUAUGUGUUGCAGCAUCACACCCUACCACACUGGCCUCGUGUUGGAUGUGAAGUACUUCUGCUUUCCAGCUGGCAGUGGUAAGUGUAAGCCUUCAGAAGCAUCCUCACCAGCCAAGAUGUGAAGUGGUCACACCAGCAGAGGUCCAGCAUGGAGUGUGUUGAUUAAUGACCUUCCUUUGCAUACACAGGAGAAAAUUCAUAUUUGGACAGGUACAGUUAACAGUUAACACUGAUUUUGGUCCACUUCAUCUUCUUAUGACCUGAGAUCAGAUCAGGGAUUUUAGUGAGUAGGACUAAUCAUGGUAUAUUUUAAUAUCCCUUAAGUAAUUCUCCCUCAUCAAAAAAUAUAAGAGCAGAUUUCACUUCUUUUGUAGGAGUAAUGCUAAUAGAUGCAGAAAAUAAAAUGCUAUUUUAGAUUUACUUUGAAUUAUGUGAAAAUAAUGGUCAAGAUAAAAAGGAAUUGUGGAUGGUAUCUGGAUAAAGGCUAACAACAAUCUGCAUAUUUACAGAUUACACAGUUUAAACAAAUAGACAUGAAUAAAUCCUGAAAUGCAUAUGAGAAUAAAAUACUACUCAGAUGUGCAAAAAGAGAAAAAAGGAAAGGGAGUGACAAGGUUUAGAGAUCCAAGGGUGGCUGAAAAUAUUCAAUUUAAUUUUGCUCCAGUUUGUACAUUUUGUUAAAUUCUAAUUUAUGUUGUCUCCAGUUUAAGAGAAAUAAAAAUCUUUCCUUUAAAUUCCUACCACUAUCAGAUGGGCACUAAGAUUUAUAUGCAAUCAUCACAUUUGGACUGCUCACAAGAUCAGACUAGAACAAAAGAAAUUAAACCUACUUUUCCUCCAAUGCAGACUUUCCAGAAAGUCUUUAAAAAAAAAAAAUUAAGUCAUCAGUUUGGAGAGGACACUGAGAAAUAAAAUCAGAAUACCUUGACUGGAAAAGGAGAAUAUCACUGGCUGACCACAUGCUCCAAAAGAAGUUCUAAGAAAUCAACUGGUUGUCCAGCUGACUGUGGUGUGCAGUCAUUGUAUGUAGUGUCAAUAUUCCCUCAGCUGAGGAGGGAUCUGCAGCAAACUGGCACCUAACUCUGGAGACAAAUCUUUUUUCUCUUCAGCCAGUUUCUCUUUGCAAUAAUUAACAACGGUUACUACAGUGAAUCCCUUUGGAAUUCAAAAUGUUCAUCAAUCAAAAAAAGCCAAAACUCUGGAUACAGAAAAGACUUGAUUUCUUGGAGCUCUAGCUUUCAUUUUCUUCUUUUAUUUGUUCCAUGUAAAAACAAAGAUGUCUUGGUAUAGUUACAAGAAAUGUGAAACUCAGUUUGUGGGAGAGCAAAACAAUGAUCUCAAGAUAACUGAGCAAGCACAUCAGCUACAGUCACAGUUUAUUUGUGUGUGAAUCAUGAGCCUGAUGAAUGCAAACUGUUGACUCGAAGUGUUCCCCGAGCAGUUCAGAGGUCUCUUUGAUCACACAAAUUAAUAUCAAGUGGGCCACUGACUAUAUUGGUUGUAUGUUGUGCAGAAUUCUCAAACUUUAACAUCAGGAAAAUAAAAGACAAAUAGACUCAGAUGAAGAACAAAAGUCUUUCUCAAAGACUUUUUCUCCUACAUUUUUACAAUGUAUUCGACAUUCAUCUCUUAUUAAGCUAUUUGAAGAAUGACAAAUUAAGAAUUACACAGUAUGGCAGAAGUGGGUCACCACUUAAUUAAAGAUGCAUGACCAGUGGGAACCAUUUUUGUGUGAAAAGUCAUUUUAUUUCCAGGGUUCUGGAUAAAGACAAUUUUGAUGAACAUUUGGUUCAGAAACAGCUUAACUGAUAGACAGCCUGUGUACACAGACAGUGGACCCAUUAAUUGAGACAGUAACAACCAAUUUACUGGCAAGUGAUUUUGUGAAUACAGGCUAAAACAACAGAGAUUCUGAAGGACCUAAUGGUCCUCAUCACUUCAACCAAGAGCAUUUGCUUAAGCUGUGCAUGAAAAGAUGUCAGUGCCCCAAACUGGACUUAGACCUAACAAGACCUCCCAAGAGGUUGCUCUGAUGCAGGACUCUCAGUCUCCCUGCAUCAAUUUUCCUCUGCUUGGCACAGUAGUACCACUCUGUCAAAUUAUAGCCACCAGAUUUAGCACAGCAAUCGGUAUUUGCUCUCUCUCUUUGGCCCACUCCACGGAAAGCAAAGAACAAAGUCACAACCUCCUCACCCCAGAACAACCUGGAGCAAUAUCUUCCUGCACACAAGAAAUUGCUGGAUCCAGACAGCAGAGAUAAGAUUUUUUUUAUUAUUAUUACUGUCACAAUUUUAAGGAAAAAAAAGAAAAAAGGAAAAAAUGGUAAACAUCUUUGAAGUCUUUUUCUGUCUUUUCUCUCAAAGUUCACAGUAUCUCACUACUCAGCAGCUAAUUAGCAUGAUGUUGAAAAACAGUGCUGUGAGUCAGUGCCAAGUGACAGGGGAGGGGAGAGGGCUGGAGACUGGUUCAAGCACACACAUUCCUUCCUCUGCAGCCUGACCACAGGCACAGGGAAGGGAGGAACCUGACUAAGAGGAAAGCAUCAUGAUUUCUGAUUUACUGGCAAGCCACAGACGUGAGAAUGGCACUCUCAGUGCUUCUCUCACAUCUUUUGCAAUACUUUUCAAGCAGGAAUUUGGAACUGAAAUAAUUAAACAACAUAAUUAGACAUUUAUUUUAACUCUGUGGGCCAACGUGUUGGCUGAGGCUUUGCAAAUGACGAAAACCACAGCUGCCAUGUUCAGCUUUGGGAGCAGCUCAGCUGCACUAUGUGUCAUCAGUUCCCAUCCUGCUCUCUUGUUUUAAUUAGACUCUCUUGCAGGCAACAAAUCAGACUGAUAUUCUUCCUAAAUGCUGCAAGUGCCCAGAGCAAACUGUGAAUACUAAGGGAAAAACAAAAAGACAAACUAGAUGUUUGUGUUCUUAUAUAUAUGAGAUACAAGAACCUUACCAAUACAGUUAAAUCUAUUGAAAUAGCCACAUUCAAAAGUGGCAUCCUUCUGUCCCAGUAGUGUUACUUCAAAGCUGUUAGGCAGAAUUCUUCUGGCAAAGAGACUUUCCAUGUGCUCAGGCUUGGAUUAUGUAAGGCUCCUGGCCCAGGUCCUACCUUCACUGUUCCUUCUCCAACAUUUCUUCCCACCAAGGGGAUAAUGCCUUGUAUUGCCUGUGGUAGCAGCUAAGAAAGGGUGGAUGUGGCAAUAGGGAUGUGUUGCCCGUGCCUCCCUCCAGUCUGCUCAGUAAAUACCACAAGUCCUUUAAUUUUAAAGCCCUCAAUUGUCUCACUUUGCACAAAAGCAAGGAAUCAGAUCAACUCCAUUUAUUUAAAGUGACCAUGAGAAAAUCAUUUGCCCUUCUUUAGGUGGGAGCACAGGGCACUGCAGGCUCUAAACCAGAAACAUUCCUGUUUGCUUUUAUUCAUCCCUCUUUCCCCCCUCAAAAACAAACAAACAAACAAACACCAAAAAAACCCAAAACAACAACAACAACAAAAAAAUCAAAAACAAAACCAUCUCCCCUGGAGUUAGGGAGAUGGGAAAUCACCAACCAUAUGAAUUUUAACAAAGUGCUGAAUUCUUUGCCUGGGAUGGGGCAAGCCUGGAUGUACGGACAGACUGGAGAAUGAGACGCUGGAGAGCAGCACCACUUACAGGAGGUGAUGACAAGAUGAGCUUCACCUCAAGUCUUGUGUGCAGUUUUGGGCACCACCAAAUGAGAAAGAUAAAAAGUUAUUAGGGAGCGUCCAAAGAAGGGCCACAAAGAUGGUAAAGGGUCUGAAGGGAGAGCUGUAUGAGGAGAGGAUGAGGUCACUUGGCUUGUUCAGCCUGGACAAGAGAAGACUGAGGCGGGCACCUGAUGGUGUUCUUCAACAUCCUCACAAGGGCAAGUGGAGGGGCUCCAAUCUCUUCUCUGUGAUGACCAGUGACAGUACCUGAGGGAAUGGACUGAAGCUGUGUCAGGGAAGGUUUACUUUGGGUAUCAGGAAAAGUUUUUUCACCCAGAGGCCUGCUGGAAGAAGCUUUUGGCCAAUGUUCUUGGGCACAUAGUGUGAUCCUUGGGGCUGUCCUGUGCAGGGCCAGGAGCUGGACUCAGUGAUCCUUGUGGGUCCCUUCCAACUCAGGAUAUUCCAUGAUUCUAUGAUUUUGUAAAAUUAAAACACUGAAUCUUUCUUCUUCAAUAUUUUCCUCUUCUUGAAGAACUUUUUGAACCUAUGACCUGUUUCCCAUCACCUGUGCAUCCUCAUUUUGGCCAGUAAUAUGUUUUCCCUGUAUUGUAUGUCAAAGGACUUUGUGAAUUGCUCACAUCUUCCCCUCUCAUGAUCUGCAUCUGCCCACAGAGUCCCCAGAAGCACACACAGCAAAACACGUUGUGCAAAAGGGACCAAGUGGAGCAAACAGAUGUAAUAAGUAGAAAAUAGAACUUACUGUGGAGGAAAAAGAUUAAGCAUGUCAGGGCCUUGGCACUGCCUCUUGAGAUGAAUCUUAGCUCCCAUAAUUUCUCAUCAGCUGCAGAUGAGAUGUUCCUAUAAUAGGAGGGAAAGGGAGGGGAAACUCACAGUGUCCCAAAGCCCCCUAAAAGUUAAGAAAGCUAUGCUAAUAUUGUAAUACUUGGUUAAAUAGCAAUGAAAUGUUAGUACAGAUGUUAGAUGUACAUUUCAACAUAGAUGUUAUAUAUAGUUAUAUAGAUGUUUAUAUAUAGUUAGUUAUCUAUAUAUGCAACAUAAAUGCUGUCAAAGAUUCAAACUAUAACCCCCAUCACUAACAGACAACUGAAGGGAAUAAAUCCAGAUCUCAAACAUUAAAUCAUUCCAUGCCAGACAGCAGUAUAUAUUUGUUAUCGCACUAUCGAAGUAUUCUGAGCACAGUAGCAGUAGCUUUUCUUCAGAAAAAGAGUCCCAGGCAUGGAGUGAGAAAAAAUCCAUUUUAGCAGGUUUCAUUCUUUGAAAGAGGUGGGGACUCUAAUCUCUACUAUUUCUAAACUGGCUAAGACAUAAAAUGCAGCUUCCACUUUUUUAACUAUUUUAAUUUUUUUAAAAAUAUUCCCAAAGAAAAUUAUUUUAAGCCAUUCUCAAAUCAGCAGAUCAUUCUACAUAAAGAUCUGAAUUACUUGUACACUGCAUGAGCCAUACAGUAACACAUUAAUUACCGAAUAAACUACGGCUUUGAAGGAUGAUUACAGCUGAGGCCCUGGGCAUGCACAGAGCAAGAUCCUAUAAUCUGAAAUUAUCUUGAUUGGGAAAAACAGUGGAGAAGUAGCUUUUCUCCUGAUAUUGUGGAGGUAAACUGUUUUAGUGAGGCACUAUGCACAGUGACAGGGAAAUUGGGAAAAAAAACCUAGUGAAGACUCUCUCCAGAAUGUGAAUAACUGGGUUUUGAAAAUAUGGGACUCACAUUCAUAGUCAUUAUCAUAUUAGUAAUACAAAUUUCAUUAUCCUGAAAUUUCAUUAUAUUCUGAAAUAUAUGUAUUUUAAUAUAAUUCUAAAAGAUUGUGAAAGGUUGAAUAACAAAAUCAUCAGAGCUGUGAUUGCAUGAAUCCACAGAUGACAAAUUCACAAUUCUGGGCACUCAUCUAAUUUUCUUAAGUGAGGGCAUAUGAAAAAAUACUCAAUUGUUCAGCUGGGUUGAGGUAACUGAGGGAAUAAACACUGCUAGAAUAAUUGCCUGUUGACAUAUUGGAAAGCAUGUACAUGUUUGCCAAGGCAGGCAGCUCCUAGGGAUUAUGCUUUUCUCUGAAAAGCUAUCAGCCUGCAGCAUGUAUCUGAGUUUACUAAAAGAGGUUUAAGAAAAUAUGUUGAACUGCAAACAAAAAUAGUACCAAGUGCAGGCACAGCUCAAACAGCUGCAUUGCAGUAGAUGUUUGCUUUGAACAUCGUGACAGAACAGCAUUCAACAAAACUAUCCAGUGCGUGCGCUCAGAAAGGAUGCCAGGAUGUUGCCAGCUCUUGUACUCCCACUUACUGGGAUGACAAAGCCACGAGCACAAUUGUCAGGCAGAAAGAAGAAAUGAACUGUGCUGAGGUGCUUCGAACAAAGGAACAUAAAGAUUUCUGUGAUCAGCUUAUAUGUCACUAGACUAUAAGGGGAGAAAAGGCACAGGGAUGGGUGAAAAACUGACUGAUGAGACCACUAGAGACACAUACUGAAAGAUAAAGGAUUGGCACUGCAGAGAGGAAAAUCUCUGCACAGUACUGAAAAGAAAGGAUGAGCAAUAGAUUACAGAAGAAUGUAGAAAAACUAAAUAAUAUUUAAAAAAAUAAACAUUGAAAAGCUUGCAAGGUCUUUGGGUCAAAGUGUCUCUUCCUGUAUAUCUUACCAAGCUGACCCAGACAGGGUCCCUGCGGCUACAGCUACAUGGCAGACAUGAAUGUUAAAGCAAUUGUGUUCCUCAGGGCCCCAGGAUCUGUCAAAUCUCUUACCAGACAUUCCUCACUAAUGAAAAAAAGUGUGCUGAAAAAGAUUACAAUUAAUCAGCUUGGUUGGUUGUUUUUAAGUGAAUGAUAGGAGCUCAGGUGUUGAAAAUUAUCUGAGCUAACAGCUACAUGUUAAAUAGAAGUGGUAGGCAGGCUCCACAGCAGGACUACCCAACCCAGUUUUUUCCCCAUAAAAUUGCAUUCAGCAACCUUCAAAGUGGAAGUACUCAAAUCCCUUUGAAAACACCCGAAAUCCUCGCUGACAACCUUCUACUCUUCUGUAUGUCUUCUUCAGCCUGCCUAAUUCAGUAUCUAGUCUCAAGAGGAUGCCAAAUUACUCAUUCAUCCACCAAAGUCUUAAACAGAAACUGUUUAAACAGGUUUCAUAAUGCCCAUAAUUCACUCAGGACAAGACACUCUGUGAAUGCUACUUGCAUUGAACUAGUGCAAUUACACAGCUUCUCAUUCAGAAGUGGUGAAUAUACAAGCAAAAAUACCUGUAUAUUCAAUUCUAAGUGUGUAUGUCUCUAAUUUUUAUUGAAUACAGCCUCUAAGCUAAUUUAAAAAUGAAAAAUAUCCUGUUGUCAUUUGUUGAUUUUUUUUUUAAUCUUAUAUUAUUUUUUUCUUGGAAGGGCUGAGAAACAAGAAAAGCUGAUUUUAAUUGAGAGCCGUAUUUUUUUGGAGUUCAACAUCCUUAUUUUCUUUUUAAGAGAUUCUGAAUUCUCAGCUAUUUUUUUCCGACCCAUUAACUUCUUAAAACUUAAUGGACCUAUUUUCUCAUUUCCUCACCUUCUUACUCUUGUCCACUUAGUUAAUCUAACACCUGAUUAGUUUCAGCCAAACACAUUUGUUAUUCUUAUAAUUUAUAUGUUGUUCUUAAUGGUUUCUUCAAUACUUUUGCAAAUGCCUCCUUCAUUUUUUACCUGCCUCUAGUUUUGCAUUAAACUACUUUGCUCGCUUCUUUUUUCACUAAGCUGUCACAUCAUCCUUACUCAUGCUUUCUCCAUUAUCAUCACCCACAAGUUUUGACUCAGAAAUCAAAGCUCUUCUAUUAAAUAGACUGUUAUUUCAAUCCCUGAUGGGUAGAUACUUCAUUCUCAUGACUUUACUCAUGCAUUUGUAUAUUAUUUCAGUACAACCCUUUAUUAUUAUUGUUAUAUUGUUUCUGUGUAAUAUGUCACCAUCCUAACACUAUUUUAUGCAAUAAAUGCCAUUAUCUCCUCUUUAUUUACUGAGCAAAGGGCCCUUUGUUUUAACUCUGUGUUUGAGGUUGACUGUAAUUUUCUUUACACUACUCAUUUUCUGAUCUCUAAGGCAUUUAACUCAAAUCUUCAGUCUUUCUCUGACUGCCUGAAGGAGAUCUAAAUUCUUCCCAAAAACUUGAGAAGUUUACUAAUUUAGAAAGAUACAGAUCUAUUUUGUACAAUAUUUGAAUCUCAAAUUUCCUGAUCUGUUCUUUCUUUCCUUAAGUAAAUUCUAUACACCACCUUCAAAUCAGUUUCUGAGCCUCUUAUUUUGAUUUGUCUCCAGCUCAGUUUCCUUCAUUCAUUUUAUCUCAUAGUUUAGUCUGAGAAUUGGACAUCUUAAUUAUAGACCUACUUUUGUUUUCACAAAAUUCAAAGAGAACUGACACAUGUCAGUUUGAUCUCAGGUUGUUUUGCAUUAUCAGAACUUUUUUUACAUUUCCAGUGCUUACCACACUAUCUCUUGAUACAAUUUUGUGUUCAACAGUGAAUUGUAAUAUUAGAAAACAGAGGGAAGCCUGAACAGAAGAACAUGUGACUACAGACAACUAUCUAUCUAGUAAACUCCACUUUCAUUGGCAAUUAAUAUCCAACACCUAACCCUAAAUAAAAAAAACACAAACACACCCUAAAUAAUAACAGUAGAAAAUAAUAAACACAACCUAACUAAAAUAUAUAACAUUUUUACACAAAUUAAAUACAUUUCUAAGAGUAUAUGAUACUAAUGCACCCAACCUCUUCUUGUCCCUUAUCCCAAAACACAGUGAUAUCAGUAGUGAUGACAGCAGAAGUAAUCAACAGUAAUUAACAGCCAUGACUCCAGUACAUCACAGCUACCUUUCUUUAAGCUAACAGGGUGCAGGGUUGUUCCCCAUUCUGAAGCAUUCAUUUUAUUUAUAUUCCAUUUUUUACUGUUAUACAUAGCUUCAAUUAAUUCAUCUGCAGCCUUUGCUUUUUUGACAUCACAUCUGCUUUGCACCACAGACCAUUCCAUCAUUGCACUGCUGAAAUAUUUAUUCAGAAAGUUGUGCAGGUGGAGGGCUGGCAAAAAGAGACGAACAGGACCUUCCAGCUGCACCAUCAGAAAAGAAGACAGGACAUAAUUGGAAUUUCCUAGGUGAAGCACAGUUUGGAUCUCACCAAUUGCCUCUACGUUCUACAUACUAACUCAACAAGGUAAAGCUGAGCUGCAGCAGAGUUAAAACUAGAAGCAAUACUGAGAACUUCAUCAUCUAAGAGAAGCUUUUGUAAAAACUACAUUUUUUUAAGUAAUAUUUUGAUAAUUUUACAUAGAAAUAUAGCCUCUUUAUUUUUACCCAAGAAAAAUGAAUAUAUAGACCAGGAGUUUGAAUGGGAUUAGGAAAAAGACUAAGCAGAUAAACUGUCAGUCCCCAGAUUACUCUAUGUGACAAAGACUGUUGCAGGAGACCUUAUAACAAAGAUGCAAACUUGUAAGAAACACAAGGAAUUAUAUUCACAAAACUAUGAAUCAAAAUAAUAAUUUAAAAACCGCACACUUGAUUAAUGCUUUUUUUCCCCUGAAUAAAGGAAAUACACUUUACUUUUCUUGAAAUAUGGACCAUAAGAGAUCAGCUAAUCUAGACACAUUGUCAAGGCAGGACUGACAGUAUAUUGACACAUUUCUGAUACAGGUUCUUUAAAAAGAAAAAUACCAGCAAUUGCCAUUCCUGAUAUGAAGAAAGGUAUAGAGCUUCUUUUCCUGUAUUAGCUUGAAGUCAAGAGCAUUUAGGGUUUGCUUUUUUUAUCCCUUACAAUUUCCUGUUUGAGGAUCAUAGAAGCUAUUCACUUUAUGUAAUUGUUUCCUUAAAUUGCUGUUUUCAAUUUGCAUAAUGUAUCAUUUAAGUAAAGGUAAAGAAGCAUUUCAUUUUGAUAAUUUCUGCCACAGCUGAGAUUGCAAAAUUGCUUCUUGUUAGAAGGAAAUUUUUAAAAAGUGCAAUCACUGCAACUUUCCAGAUGGCAUCUAACAUAUUUUUCAGUCUGCUGCAGUAGUAUGUUAUAGAUAUGCUUGCUAUUCCGUUCAAGCUAGGAAACAUUUUCUCCAGCUGAGGUAGGUAUUUUGGCCCCACGUUUUCAUAUUGCAUUACAUUCCUUGAAAAUUUCCUUAUUUAUUAGUUCCAUAACUCUAAACAUUUUCUAGUAUUUAAAAAAUUCUCCACAAGUUUGAUUUGCCAAGACACUCUAUUUCUCCACUGCUAAUUUCUUUGCUAUUAAAUCUGAUUAGUUCUUUUCUACAGCCUUAUCUAAGAAUGCCAUCAUUUAACCAAAAUACUAUUCUACAUUUAUCAGUAACUUCUCCUAACUUCAAUUCUCUUCUAUUAUUAAUAGCAAAUAUUGAUACAUGCAGUACCCUAUACCUCAGAUAUACCAACAGGGUGAAAUCCUCAAAACAUAAAACUUCCUAAGUUUCAUGCCUGAUACUUCUCUGGAAUUAGCCUUUAAAUACAGCAUUGCUGGAAAUAUCAAUGUCAUUAUAUUGAAUUAUUCUGCGCAGAUCAAAAUCUGGCAAUUUAUCUAUAAAUAUGUAUUGUUUGUACAUGUUUAGCCCCACAUUCCUGAGCUUUUGACUCAGCCAAGCAUAUGAGUCUUAUACUUCUGUAAAGUCACUACUAACAUGCCUAAACUUUGGCUCAGUGUGGCAAUACCAGCACAGAAACUCAAUUAUUUAAAUAAAAUUAUUUUUUUUAAUCAUUCCUUUAUAGGUGAUAAAAAAUAUAUAGAUCAUGGUGGCUUAAACAAUCCUAUUGCUUAAGACUGCAAAUCAGACCCAGUGCCUCCCAAAGAGAAAAAAAACAGAGUUAGCCUCAAGCUCUUCACCUGGGUCAGGAAUCAUCCUGUGUAUCUGAAUUCUCCCAUUCUCCCUUUGCACUCCAAGGCAAGUAGGGUACAAAUCCUUAUUGCAUCUGCAGAACGGGGAAAUAGGCCUGUGCAAAUAGUCAGCAAAGUAAAACAAGAUUUGUCCUUGAUUUGAUCAUCUUCCUUUUCUUACAUUUAGAAUGCUGUAUUUCUCCAUCUCUCUAUCACUCACAAGUCUGCAAUCUGAUGCAACCCCUCACUUGAAAUUCUUUCAUUAGAUCAAGAGCAUUAAAAUGGGGCAUGUAUAACCAAUAUACUUGGUUGCUAUAUUAAUCUGUCUUUUUCCAUCGGAACUGGACAAAAUUUCCAAGCUUUUUAUUGAAAAUAUGAAAAUUUUUGUUUUCUUGACUUGAAAACUUAGAUGUUUUAAGGAUUUCUUUUUCAAUCACUCUUGUUUUCAAGCUUAAUUUUAACACCAAAGAAAACAAAAAUCUAUGAUAAUGUCAUCUUUUAUGACAUCUCUCUUGGUCAAAGUAAGCUCUAUGACACAUUUCAGCUUCAAAGAACUCCAGUGCUUCCUUUAUGUUUAAUGAUUAUGACAUAGACUCAAGUGAUCUGCAAGAUCUUCAAGAAGGCAGCAAAAUCAGCCACCAGCAUGCAAGAUUCAGGACUGUUUAUUGUCAGACCUGAAAGACUACAAAGAGUGCAGAGCUUAUCUAGAUUGUGUGCACACCAGCCAUGUGGUUAAUGAUUCACAAAGCUAUCACCAUUUCUUAGUCUGGGUGGAAUAUGCUGUGGAAUGUCUCAAGGGAAUGGUUUGUAUAGCACUGCUUGGAUGUGGUCAGAGGCUGUGAAGUUCACAUGUGACAGCACCAGCAAGAUCAUCUGAGAUGUCUGAAAUAUUAAAUAGUUUUAUCUCAAACUGAA
Passer domesticus (house sparrow) is the source of this 12629-nucleotide long non-coding RNA. RefSeq lists it as uncharacterized. The transcript is spliced from 4 exons. NCBI's taxonomy places the organism in Eukaryota, Metazoa, Chordata, Aves, Passeriformes, Passeridae. The record is from RefSeq and is a predicted model, not a curated record.